Molecule: ribosomal RNA, 1487 nt
Filed under: Limosilactobacillus fermentum
Lineage: Bacteria; Bacillati; Bacillota; Bacilli; Lactobacillales; Lactobacillaceae
Description: bacterial SSU rRNA
Rfam family: Bacterial small subunit ribosomal RNA
Source: RNAcentral
GCCAGGCGGUUGCUAUACAUGCAGUCGACGCGUUGGCCCAAUUGAUUGAUGGUGCUUGCACCUGAUUGAUUUUGGUCGCCAACGAGUGGCGGACGGGUGAGUAACACGUAGGUAACCUGCCCAGAAGCGGGGGACAACAUUUGGAAACAGAUGCUAAUACCGCAUAACAGCGUUGUUCGCAUGAACAACGCUUAAAAGAUGGCUUCUCGCUAUCACUUCUGGAUGGACCUGCGGUGCAUUAGCUUGUUGGUGGGGUAACGGCCUACCAAGGCGAUGAUGCAUAGCCGAGUUGAGAGACUGAUCGGCCACAAUGGGACUGAGACACGGCCCAUACUCCUACGGGAGGCAGCAGUAGGGAAUCUUCCACAAUGGGCGCAAGCCUGAUGGAGCAACACCGCGUGAGUGAAGAAGGGUUUCGGCUCGUAAAGCUCUGUUGUUAAAGAAGAACACGUAUGAGAGUAACUGUUCAUACGUUGACGGUAUUUAACCAGAAAGUCACGGCUAACUACGUGCCAGCAGCCGCGGUAAUACGUAGGUGGCAAGCGUUAUCCGGAUUUAUUGGGCGUAAAGAGAGUGCAGGCGGUUUUCUAAGUCUGAUGUGAAAGCCUUUCGGCUUAACCGGAGAAGUGCAUCGGAAACUGGAUAACUUGAGUGCAGAAGAGGGUAGUGGAACUCCAUGUGUAGCGGUGGAAUGCGUAGAUAUAUGGAAGAACACCAGUGGCGAAAGGCGGCUACCUGGUCUGCAACUGACGCUGAGACUCGAAAGCAUGGGUAGCGAACAGGAUUAGAUACCCUGGUAGUCCAUGCCGUAAACGAUGAGUGCUAGGUGUUGGGAGGGUUUCCGCCCUUCAGUGCCGGAGCUAACGCAUUUAAGCACUCCGCCUGGGGGAGUACGACCGCAAGGUUGAAACUCAAAGGAAUUGACGGGGGCCCGCACAAGCGGUGGAGCAUGUGGUUUAAUUCGAAGCUACGCGAAGAACCUUACCAGGUCUUGACAUCUUGCGCCAACCCUAGAGAUAGGGCGUUUCCUUCGGGAACGCAAUGACAGGUGGUGCAUGGUCGUCGUCAGCUCGUGUCGUGAGAUGUUGGGUUAAGUCCCGCAACGAGCGCAACCCUUGUUACUAGUUGCCAGCAUUAAGUUGGGCACUCUAGUGAGACUGCCGGUGACAAACCGGAGGAAGGUGGGGACGACGUCAGAUCAUCAUGCCCCUUAUGACCUGGGCUACACACGUGCUACAAUGGACGGUACAACGAGUCGCGAACUCGCGAGGGCAAGCAAAUCUCUUAAAACCGUUCUCAGUUCGGACUGCAGGCUGCAACUCGCCUGCACGAAGUCGGAAUCGCUAGUAAUCGCGGAUCAGCAUGCCGCGGUGAGUACGUUCCCGGGCCUUGUACACACCGCCCGUCACACCAUGAGAGUUUGUAACACCCAAAGUCGGUGGGGUAACCUUUUAGGAGCCAGCCGCCUAAGGUGGACAGAUAUACGG